This 440-nucleotide ribosomal RNA is filed under the name uncultured bacterium. RNAcentral describes it as "partial 16S ribosomal RNA". It matches the Rfam family "Bacterial small subunit ribosomal RNA", at positions 338 to 795 of the family's 1533-position model. The record is from RNAcentral.
CCUACGGGAGGCAGCAGUAGGGAAUAUUGCUCAAUGGGGGAAACCCUGAAGCAGCAACGCCGCGUGGAGGAUGAAGGUUUUCGGAUUGUAAACUCCUUUUGUUAGAGAAGAUAAUGACGGUAUCUAACGAAUAAGCACCGGCUAACUCCGUGCCAGCAGCCGCGGUAAUACGGAGGGUGCAAGCGUUACUCGGAAUCACUGGGCGUAAAGAGGGCGGAGGCGGGAUAGCAAGUCAGAUGUGAAAUCCUAUGGCUUAACCAUAGAACUGCAUUUGAAAAUGUUAUUCUAGAGUAUGGGAGAGGUAGGUGGAAUUCUUGGUGUAGGGGUAAAAUCCGUAGAGAUCAAGAGGAAUACUCAUUGCGAAGGCGACCUGCUAGAACAUAACUGACGCUGAUGCGCGAAAGCGUGGGGAGCAAACAGGAUUAGAUACCCUAGUAGUC